UACGGGGGGAGCAAGCGUUGUUCGGAUUUACUGGGCGUAAAGGGCGCGUGGGCGGCCACCGCAAGUCAGUUGUGAAAGCUCUGGGCUUAACCCAGAAAGGUCAACUGAUACUGCGGGGCUAGAGUGCAGAAGGGGCAACUGGAAUUCUCGGUGUAGCGGUGAAAUGCGUAGAUAUCGAGAGGAACACCUGCGGCGAAGGCGGGUUGCUGGGCUGACACUGACGCUGAAGUGCGAAAGCUAGGGGAGCGAACGGG
RNAcentral lists this ribosomal RNA (254 nucleotides) under uncultured bacterium. Its description in RNAcentral is "partial 16S ribosomal RNA". It matches the Rfam family "Bacterial small subunit ribosomal RNA", at positions 524 to 776 of the family's 1533-position model. The record is from RNAcentral.